Molecule: ribosomal RNA, 1176 nt
Filed under: Halomonas sp.
Lineage: Bacteria; Pseudomonadati; Pseudomonadota; Gammaproteobacteria; Oceanospirillales; Halomonadaceae
Description: bacterial SSU rRNA
Rfam family: Bacterial small subunit ribosomal RNA
Source: RNAcentral
CCGAAGCGGAAACGAUCCUAGCUUGCUAGGAGGCGUCGAGCGGCGGACGGGUGAGUAAUGCAUAGGAAUCUGCCCGGUAGUGGGGGAUAACCUGGGGAAACCCAGGCUAAUACCGCAUACGCCCUACGGGGGAAAGCAGGGGAUCUUCGGACCUUGCGCUAUCGGAUGAGCCUAUGUCGGAUUAGCUAGUUGGUGAGGUAACGGCUCACCAAGGCUGCGAUCCGUAGCUGGUCUGAGAGGAUGAUCAGCCACAUCGGGACUGAGACACGGCCCGAACUCCUACGGGAGGCAGCAGUGGGGAAUAUUGGACAAUGGGCGAAAGCCUGAUCCAGCCAUGCCGCGUGUGUGAAGAAGGCCUUCGGGUUGUAAAGCACUUUCAGUGAGGAAGAAAGCCUUGAGGUUAAUACCCUCGAGGGAGGACAUCACUCACAGAAGAAGCACCGGCUAACUCCGUGCCAGCAGCCGCGGUAAUACGGAGGGUGCGAGCGUUAAUCGGAAUUACUGGGCGUAAAGCGCGCGUAGGCGGCUUGAUAAGCCGGUUGUGAAAGCCCCGGGCUCAACCUGGGAACGGCAUCCGGAACUGUCAGGCUAGAGUGCAGGAGAGGAAGGUAGAAUUCCCGGUGUAGCGGUGAAAUGCGUAGAGAUCGGGAGGAAUACCAGUGGCGAAGGCGGCCUUCUGGACUGACACUGACGCUGAGGUGCGAAAGCGUGGGUAGCAAACAGGAUUAGAUACCCUGGUAGUCCACGCCGUAAACGAUGUCGACUAGCCGUUGGGCUCCUUGAGAGCUUUGUGGCGCAGUUAACGCGAUAAGUCGACCGCCUGGGGAGUACGGCCGCAAGGUUAAAACUCAAAUGAAUUGACGGGGGCCCGCACAAGCGGUGGAGCAUGUGGUUUAAUUCGAUGCAACGCGAAGAACCUUACCUACCCUUGACAUCGAGAGAACUUUCCAGAGAUGGAUUGGUGCCUUCGGGAACUCUCAGACAGGUGCUGCAUGGCUGUCGUCAGCUCGUGUUGUGAAAUGUUGGGUUAAGUCCCGUAACGAGCGCAACCCUUGUCCCUAUUUGCCAGCGAUUCGGUCGGGAACUCUAAGGAGACUGCCGGUGACAACCCGGAGGAAGGUGGGGACGACGUCAAGUCAUCAUGGCCCUUACGGGUAGGGCUACCACCUUGCUACA